This 481-nucleotide ribosomal RNA is filed under the name uncultured bacterium. Its description in RNAcentral is "partial 16S ribosomal RNA". It matches the Rfam family "Bacterial small subunit ribosomal RNA", at positions 28 to 507 of the family's 1533-position model. The record is from RNAcentral.
GAUGAACGCUGGCGGCGUGCUUAACACAUGCAAGUCGAACGAAGCACUUUAUUUGAUUUCCUUCGGGACUGAUUAUUUUGUGACUGAGUGGCGGACGGGUGAGUAACGCGUGGGUAACCUGCCUUGUACAGGGGGAUAACAGUUGGAAACGGCUGCUAAUACCGCAUAAGCGCACAGCAUCGCAUGAUGCAGUGUGAAAACCUCCGGUGGUAUAAGAUGGACCCGCGUUGGAUUAGCUGGUUGGUGAGGUAACGGCCCACCAUGGCGACGAUCCAUAGCCGGCCAGAGAGGGAGACCGGACACACUGGGACUGAGACACGGCCCAAACUCCUCCGGGAGGCAGGAGUGGGGAAUAUUGCACAAUGGGCGAAAGCCUGAUGCAGCGACGCCGCGUGAGCGAAGAAGUAUUUCGGUAUGUAAAGCUCUAUCAGCAGGGAAGAUAAUGACGGUACCUGACGAAGAAGCACCGGCUAAAUACGUG